RNAcentral lists this ribosomal RNA (253 nucleotides) under uncultured bacterium. RNAcentral's name for it is "partial 16S ribosomal RNA". It matches the Rfam family "Bacterial small subunit ribosomal RNA", at positions 524 to 776 of the family's 1533-position model. The record is from RNAcentral.
UACAGAGGUCUCAAGCGUUGUUCGGAUUCAUUGGGCGUAAAGGGUGCGUAGGCGGCGCGGUAAGUCGGGUGUGAAAUCUCGGGGCUUAACUCCGAAACUGCAUUCGAUACUGCCGUGCUUGAGGACUGGAGAGGAGACUGGAAUUUACGGUGUAGCGGUGAAAUGCGUAGAUAUCGUAAGGAAGACCAGUGGCGAAGGCGGGUCUCUGGGCCGAUACUGACGCUGAGGAGCGAAAGCGUGGGGAGCGAACAGG